RNAcentral lists this ribosomal RNA (484 nucleotides) under uncultured bacterium. RNAcentral describes it as "partial 16S ribosomal RNA". It matches the Rfam family "Bacterial small subunit ribosomal RNA", at positions 30 to 507 of the family's 1533-position model. The record is from RNAcentral.
AUUGAACGCUGGCGGCAGGCCUAACACAUGCAAGUCGAGCGGAUGAAGGGAGCUUGCUCCUGGAUUCAGCGGCGGACGGGUGAGUAAUGCCUAGGAAUCUGCCUGGUAGUGGGGGAUAACGUCCGGAAACGGGCGCUAAUACCGCAUACGUCCUGAGGGAGAAAGUGGGGGAUCUUCGGACCUCACGCUAUCAGAUGAGCCUAGGUCGGAUUAGCUAGUUGGUGGGGUAAAGGCCUACCAAGGCGACGAUCCGUAACUGGUCUGAGAGGAUGAUCAGUCACACUGGAACUGAGACACGGUCCAGACUCCUGCGGGAGGCAGCAGUGGGGAAUAUUAGGCAAUGGGCGAGAGCCUGAUACAGCCAUGCCGCGUGUGUGAAGAAGGUCUUCGGAUUGUAAAGCACUUUAAGUUGGGAGGAAGGGCAGUAAGUUAAUACCUUGCUGUUUUGACGUUACCAACAGAAUAAGCACCGGCUAACUUCGUG